GCCCUACGGGGGGCAGCAGUGAGGAAUAUUGCGCAAUGGACGAAAGUCUGACGCAGCGACGCCGCGUGAAGGAUGAAGGCCCUUUGGGUCGUAAACUUCUGUAGAGAGGGAAGAAUCUCCGCCUUGGGCGGACUGACGGUACCUCUAAAGUAAGGAUCGGCUAACUACGUGCCAGCAGCCGCGGUAAUACGUAGGAUCCGAGCGUUGUCCGGAUUUAUUGGGUGUAAAGGGAGCGCAGGCGGGUCUAUAAGUCGAGGGUGAAAUCUUACAGCUUAACUGUAAAACUGCCUUCGAUACUGUAGAUCUUGAGUGUAGGAAAGGGCGAUGGAAUUCAUGGUGUAGCGGUGAAAUGCGUAGAUAUCAUGAAGAACACCAGUUGCGAAGGCGAUCGCCUAGCCUAUUACUGACGCUCAUGCUCGAAAGUGUGCGGAGCAAACAGGAUUAGAUACCCUAGUAGUCUUG
RNAcentral lists this ribosomal RNA (462 nucleotides) under uncultured bacterium. RNAcentral describes it as "bacterial SSU rRNA". It matches the Rfam family "Bacterial small subunit ribosomal RNA", at positions 335 to 799 of the family's 1533-position model. The record is from RNAcentral.